CUUACUACCGAAGCUACGGCAUCAGUAAUGAUGGGUAGGGGAGCUUCCCAUACGGGUUGAAGCAUGACCGUAAGGACAUGUGGACAGUAUGGGAGUGAGAAUGUUGGCAUGAGUAGCGAGAUGUGGGUGAGAAUCCCACAGGCCGUAAACCCAAGGUUUCCAGGGGAAGGUUCGUCCGCCCUGGGUUAGUCGGGACCUAAGCUGAGGCCGAAAGGCGUAGGUGAUGGACAACAGGUUGAUAUUCCUGUACUACCGAUAACCGUUUGAGAGAAGGGAUGACACAGUAGGAUAAGCUAAGCACACUGUUGGUUAUGUGUGCCCAAGCAUUGAGGCAGUCAAAGUAGGCAAAUCCGCUUUGAUAAUGCUGGGAUGUGAUGGGGAGCGAAAUUUAGUAGCGAAGUAGCUGAUUUCACACUGUCAAGAAAAGUCUCUAUCGAGGUUAAAGGUACCCGUACCGCAAACCGACACAGGUGGGUGAGGAGAGUAUCCUAAGGCCAGCGAGAGAACUGUUGUUAAGGAACUCGGCAAAAUGACCCCGUAACUUAGGGAUAAGGGGUGCCACCAUCAGGUGGCCGCAGAGAAUAGGCCCAAGCGACUGUUUACCAAAAACAUAGGUUUCUGCUAAGUCGCAAGACGAUGUAUAGGAGCUGACGCCUGCCCGGUGCUGGAAGGUUAAGGGGAUCUGUUA
This 688-nucleotide ribosomal RNA is filed under the name Clostridioides difficile. RNAcentral describes it as "partial 23S ribosomal RNA". It matches the Rfam family "Bacterial large subunit ribosomal RNA", at positions 1187 to 1892 of the family's 2925-position model. The record is from RNAcentral. Lineage: Bacteria; Bacillati; Bacillota; Clostridia; Peptostreptococcales; Peptostreptococcaceae.